Molecule: small RNA, 656 nt
Filed under: Rattus norvegicus (Norway rat)
Lineage: Eukaryota; Metazoa; Chordata; Mammalia; Rodentia; Muridae
Description: uncharacterized LOC103691204
Source: RNAcentral
GCGGAGGUUCGGGUCUCUGAGCACAGAGGGGACUGGACGCAGGGCGCCGGCCCAAGGUCAGCGGUGCAGCAUGGUGCGCACUCACCAGGUGUUUGUGAUGAUUGGACAUUCUGUUGUGCCCCCGAUGUCGGAGCUGGGUUUUGAUGCGUGUGGAUUUCUUGCUUUGUUAAGAGGAAGUACUACAGAGCCUGGGCUCCCAAAGCCAUGAGUAAGCAGCCUCCCACUACGGUGGACAGGAGCUGGUCCCACUGCCAUGCCUUCUCGUCCAUGACCCACCAGGUGAAUGAUACCCAGUCAGGCUGAGCAUUGAUGUGGCAGACAGUUCCUACAGCAGCCCAGUGCGAAGGCCUUUGACCUCCUGGCCCAGUUCAGUGUUGAGAACCACUGUCCUAGAGCCUUUUGCAUGUAGGCUGUAGCCUGCUCCACGCAGCUGGUACAGACACACCCCAGUGCACCUGGACCUACAACCUGUGGUUACCAGGCUCUCCCAGCAGGAUCGUGACCCUAACACAAGGGAUAGCAUUGUCCAAGUAGUCACCUCACAGAAACAGUAAUGUCCUCCUUUCUGACCAGUUGUCAGGAGCUGAAAUUGCACCACCCAAUUUUCCAGUGAGUCAUUUCGUCUUACUUAGGGUUGCUAUUGCUAUGAUGAAACA